RNAcentral lists this ribosomal RNA (260 nucleotides) under uncultured bacterium. RNAcentral describes it as "partial small subunit ribosomal RNA". It matches the Rfam family "Bacterial small subunit ribosomal RNA", at positions 26 to 285 of the family's 1533-position model. The record is from RNAcentral.
AGAAUCAACGCUGGCGGCGUGCCUAACACAUGCAAGUCGAACGAGAAAGUGGAGCAAUCCAUGAGUAAAGUGGCGACCGGGUGAGUAACACGUGACUAACCUACCUUCGAGUGGGGGAUAACCUCGGGAAACCGGGGCUAAUACCGCAUAACAUCUUUGAAGUAGAAAUUUCGGAGAUCAAAGGGGCAAUUCGCUUGAAGAGGGGGUCGCGGCUGAUUAGCUAGUUGGCGGGUAACGGCCCACCAAGGCUUAGAUCGGUA